GGAACGGCAGCUUUAAGGAAACAGAGCAUGAUACAAAAGAUGGCGUUCCCACUGAAGGAGAGCAAUGAAGCGUAACGAGGGAAAACACUGGAAGGGAAGACAGCACAAACAAAGAAGAAUGCUGCACACUUUCUCAGUCUGCACACCUUACAUUCAAGGCCGAUGGAACCAGGUUCUGAUAGCGUUAAAGAUCCAUCCCUAGCGAUGCGGUAUACCAGAUGAUAAAGAGUAAGUCAUGUGUGGAUGGAAAUCCAAGGCUAAAUCAGGCCUGAUUUGUGGCUACCUGGAUGGAGCCUGAGUGUAAUAAAUUCAUCAUGGCCUCCAUUAACAAGGCUAAAUUCUAUAACCACAUCGGAGUAACCAGAACAGUUUUUGGAUUGAAGUCGUUCGUCACAGUCUGGGACAUACCCAUACCCUUGUUAAAGAUUUCCGUCCGCUGAGUGAAUCUGUUCAUGGGAGGAAGUUUUGCCGCAGUGUCUGUGAGGUUUUAAUAAAGUAAUCACUGCUUAGGAUGCCCUCAGAUUCGACUCCUAGAGUUGUUCUUCUUCUGUAAAGAUUUUGUGAAGGUUUUUUGUAUUUAAGCCACGAAAACAUGAUUUGAAACAGAGGGCCGAAAAAAAUGUUUCUGAGGCA
Cryptomeria japonica (Japanese cedar) is the source of this 633-nucleotide long non-coding RNA. RefSeq lists it as uncharacterized. The transcript is spliced from 2 exons. Lineage: Eukaryota; Viridiplantae; Streptophyta; Pinopsida; Cupressales; Cupressaceae. The record is from RefSeq and is a predicted model, not a curated record.